UUUUUUUUUUUUUUUGGUUGGGGGGAGGGGGGGGGGGGAGGGACGGAGGUUUAAACUCUAAUCUUUCGCGAAUCUCCUAUCUUUACACCUUAAUAGCUUGUCUUUGAUCUUUCACUAUAAAGUAAACGACAUAUAGAGGUCAACCCUUAGAGCAAGGAGUUCAUUUUUCAAUUCAAUCCAUUAAUCUUUCUCUAAGUCUAAGGAGCAGCUGUCCUAAUUGAAGAAUGGAAUUUUCUCGACAGCCUCUGAUGCAUUCCUUAGUUUCUCUCUUUUUGUUUUCUUUUUUACCAGUACAAGCCCGCAUGCAUCAACUAUUCACACAUAAUAAGCACCCUUCUUCUCUGGUUUGCAUCAGAUAGACUUAAAGGUGUUAGGUAACUCCUUUGCAUUCGAUCAUCAUUAUUUCAAAAUCAACCCGCCUUUAGCCCCCCACAGAAUAAAACAGAUUAGUGGCCGAUCAAAACAAAUCUAUGAAACAGUUAUAAUAUGGUUGAACAUUAAGUGUUGAUAGGAUGAACUAAGUUAGGAUUAACAUUUAUAUAAUUAAAUAGAUAUUGAACAUCUAGUGCUUCUAUAAAAAGAAAUUCACGAACAAAUACAAUAUGAAAUCUAUGUAAAAAAUUUGAAGGGCUGCUAUCUGAGCCAGAAAGGCUGACACUCACGUCUCUCUCAUUUCUAGUGAUUUUGCCAAAUGCCAUUGUAGGACGAAGGAAACUUACAAGUUAAAAUCUCACUAAAGAAGCAGUAAAAUGCCACUAGGGAGAAAAGAAGCACUUCAUCUUCCCAUGACCUGCUGCAGAACAAUGAAGAUCCAAGUGCAGAAAGGUACGUGAAGCCUACACAUUAGUUUAAGAAAACUUGGAUUUCCUUUCGUACUGUAAAAUUCAAGAACUUAAGACGCUUAUCGGCUCUUUGACUUUUGCAGGUCCAACAGCUGCUCAAGUGACACCAAAGACCACCUGUCCUCUACUUGUGCAAAUACCUUCUGAUUGAGAGAAUCUAUAAUAAUGCUGAUUUUACCAAAACCAUAUAUCUGAUGACCAUCUUGCAUUCGCCCCGGCUUAAGCUGGAACAACAAAUCAUUCUGUUGUGCAUAAACUUCAAUAACUCUUUUCAAGUUCAUCUCAUCCCCGCCACCUGUACCGUCCAUUUGGAUUCCACUGUUCGAGCCCACAGAAGGACGGGAUUGAGAUUGCGCUGCUGCUUUUUUCUGAGUCUCAAACUGCCUUUGUUCAAGAACCCUAAGAUAACGUAUGUUCUCCCUCAAACCAGGUUCAGCCACCUCUGAGCCUUCAACAGCCUGGUUCAUCAUGUCUAGACCGACAUUAAGUCGAUAGCGAACGUGUUCAUUUGCCAGAAGUUCAGGUGGAAUAAGUUCCUUCCAACCCAAAUACCAUUUUGUCACUUCUUCAAAGUUCGGGUUUUUUGAGCAUAACCAGUGAUACAAAACUACUUCCCACUUGUUGAAGAAUAUAUCCAGUAUUGGAAGCAUGUGAUGGAUGGGAAUAGCAGUAGCCCAAGUACGGACCCAAUAGAACUGAUCAAGGUUCUGAUUUGCUGGAUUUAUUUGGAAUUC
Molecule: long non-coding RNA, 1576 nt
Filed under: Nicotiana tabacum (common tobacco)
Lineage: Eukaryota; Viridiplantae; Streptophyta; Magnoliopsida; Solanales; Solanaceae
Description: long non-coding RNA (NTAB_LNC013442)
Source: RNAcentral